GCCAAGUCGUGAGGCGGAGCUAAUCCCUUAAAGCCAUUCUCAGUUCGGAUUGUAGGCUGAAACUCGCCUACAUGAAGCUGGAGUUACUAGUAAUCGCAGAUCAGAAUGCUGCGGUGAAUGCGUUCCCGGGUCUUGUACACACCGCCCGUCACACCACGGAAGUUGGGGGCGCCCGAAGCCACUUAGCUAACCCUUUUGGGAAGCGAGUGUCGAAGGUGAAAUCAAUAACUGGGGUGAAGUCGUAACAAGGUAGC
RNAcentral lists this ribosomal RNA (254 nucleotides) under uncultured bacterium. Its description in RNAcentral is "partial 16S ribosomal RNA". It matches the Rfam family "Bacterial small subunit ribosomal RNA", at positions 1249 to 1500 of the family's 1533-position model. The record is from RNAcentral.